RNAcentral lists this unclassified non-coding RNA (350 nucleotides) under soil metagenome. RNAcentral's name for it is "partial contains 5.8S ribosomal RNA, internal transcribed spacer 2, and large subunit ribosomal RNA". The stretch from base 1 to 120 matches the Rfam family "5.8S ribosomal RNA", at positions 35 to 154 of the family's 154-position model. The record is from RNAcentral.
GAUGAAGAACGUAGCGAAAUGCGAUAAGUAAUGUGAAUUACAGAAUUCCGUGAAUCAUCGAGUCUUUGAACGCACAUUGCGCCCCCUGGCAUUCCGGGGGGCAUGCCUGUCCGAGCGUCAUUGCUGCCCUUCAAGCCCGGCUUGUGUGUUGGGUCGUCGUCCCCCCCGGGGGACGGGCCCGAAAGGCAGCGGCGGCACCGCGUCCGGUCCUCGAGCGUAUGGGGCUUUGUCACCCGCUCGAUUAGGGCCGGCCGGGCGCCAGCCGGCGUCUCCAACCUUCUAUUUUACCAGGUUGACCUCGGAUCAGGUAGGGAUACCCGCUGAACUUAAGCAUAUCAAUAAGCGGAGGA